GUUGAUGUUGCCUGAGGGUAGUGAGGCCCUACAGAGGGAUCUGGACAGGCUGGAUAGCUGGGCUGAAGCCAAUGGGAUGGGAUUCAACAAGACCAAAUGCCGGGUCCUGCACUUUGGCCACAAUAACCCCAGGGAACGCUACAGGCUUGGGGCAGAGUGGCUGGAAGACUGUGUAGAGGAAAUGGAGCUGGGGGUGUUGAUUGACGCUAGACUGAACAUGAGCCAGCAGUGUGCCCAGGUGGCCAAGAAGGCCAAUGGCAUCCUGGCUUGUAUCAGAAAUAGUGUGGCCAGCAGGAACAGGGAAGUAAUUGUCCCCCUGUACUCAGCACUGGUGAGGUUGCACCUCAAGUACCGUGUUCCAUUUUGAAC
RNAcentral lists this long non-coding RNA (369 nucleotides) under Gallus gallus (chicken). Its description in RNAcentral is "lncRNA (ENSGALG00010001002.1)". The record is from RNAcentral. Lineage: Eukaryota; Metazoa; Chordata; Aves; Galliformes; Phasianidae.